GAUGAAGGCCUUCGGGUUGUAAACUGCUUUUGUACGGAACGAAAAGACUCCUUCUAAUAAAGGGGGUCCAUGACGGUACCGUAAGAAUAAGCACCGGCUAACUACGUGCCAGCAGCCGCGGUAAUACGUAGGGUGCGAGCGUUAAUCGGAAUUACUGGGCGUAAAGCGUGCGCAGGCGGUUAUGUAAGACAGAUGUGAAAUCCCCGGGCUCAACCUGGGAACUGCAUUUGUGACUGCAUAGCUAGAGUACGGUAGAGGGGGAUGGAAUUCCGCGUGUAGCAGUGAAAUGCGUAGAUAUGCGGAGGAACACCGAUGGCGAAGGCAAUCCCCUGGACCUGUACUGACGCUCAUGCACGAAAGCGUGGGGAGCAAACAGGAUUAGAUACCCUGGUAGUCCACGCCCUAAACGAUGUCAACUGGUUGUUGGGUCUUCACUGACUCAGUAACGAAGCUA
RNAcentral lists this ribosomal RNA (454 nucleotides) under Acidovorax sp. RNAcentral describes it as "bacterial SSU rRNA". It matches the Rfam family "Bacterial small subunit ribosomal RNA", at positions 407 to 854 of the family's 1533-position model. The record is from RNAcentral. Lineage: Bacteria; Pseudomonadati; Pseudomonadota; Betaproteobacteria; Burkholderiales; Comamonadaceae.